RNAcentral lists this long non-coding RNA (1973 nucleotides) under Homo sapiens (human). RNAcentral's name for it is "HSALNT0383555". Lineage: Eukaryota; Metazoa; Chordata; Mammalia; Primates; Hominidae. The record is from RNAcentral.
GAAAAAUAAAAAGAUGAACUCUUUGAGAUUAGAGGUAAUAAUAUCAAGAAAUAUCUGUUCUCAUUUGAGUGCAUGUGUCUCUGCAAAAUUCAUAUGUUGGAACUUAAAGCCCAGGGUGAUGGUAUUAAGAGGUGGUAGAAAGGCAUUUGGGAAUGGAUUACAUCAUAAAGGCUCUACCCUGAUUAAUGGGAUUAUGGAACAGGCUUCAAAGAGCUACCUGGAACUUCCAUCACUUCUACCAUGUGAAGAUAAACAUGAAUCUCUUUUUUCCCUUAUAUUUCUUCUGCCAUGUGAGAACACAGUAUUUGUCUUUUCCACCUUUCCAUGAUGUGAGGACACCCCAAGAAUGUCCCCUAAAGACAGGAAACAAGACAUGGAAUCUUCUGGCACCAUGAUCUUGGACUUCAUAGCCUCCAAAAUGAAUAGAGAACCUACAGACCCGCAUGUAUUGAAGUUUGAAACCACCUGUGUAAACAGCACACAGAUGAAGGACCACUUUACCCUGUUUCUCACACCAUAGGUGUCAUAGACAUACUAAUGAAGGGGCUGCCUCACACAGAGAGCUAUCUUACAAGGUUCUGAGAAUAAAAUGAGAGCUAGAAGAGACAUGAUUUCUACUUCAAUAUUUUAUUUGGCAACAUCCUACUGAAAAGACAAGCAAAACCACUAUGAUUCAUAAUACUUGCAGAUGAAGGCAAUAUGACACAAGAAGGUUAAACGGCCUCUCAUGACAAUUGAAGGGAACGAGAGCAAAGCCACCUGCAUAUCUUCGGCAGUUAAAGAUCAGAAUCAUAACAACAAUAACAUCUCACAAUUUUCCAAGUGCUCCUUCGGCUCUGUCUUUUUCCUCCCACCUGAGGCCCCCAGGGUGGGUGUAGACAUUCAUCUCUGCUUCAUUUGAUCCACCUCUGCUUGGCCACUGCUGGACUUUUUCUCAGGCAAAGGAGAACCCCCAGGAGAGUGGAUAAACUGGACCAAGGAGCUGCAGAGCUCAAAUAGAACACUUCUCCUUCAAAAUUUAACUCAGCUCUCGGAAACACUGAAAGGAAAUGUGGCCUAUAAUUAUCCAACGUGAGAUGCAAGGAUUGAAUGCUUUGUCCAAGCUUUGCUGUUCUAAGAGAAGUCAAGGUGAAGGGUUUAGUGCCUCUGAAGCUGGGGCAAGAAAACAAUCGGCUUCUCCAACGGUCAGUAAAGAAUACAAGGGCACAGUUAAAACAGAGCCACUGAAGUGAACAACCUUCAUGUGACCAACAGGAGAAACACCCCCUCCAGGAACCUAAGACCAGUUUGCUACAAGAAUACAAUUGGUAUUCCCCACAGUCACCCUCACAAGGGACACUUACAAAGCACACUCCAAUCUCAGCCAUUACUGACUGACAAGAGCCUGCCUGUCUGAAGCCUGCAGGCCCGAGAAGCUUCUUUCUCCCUUCUCUUGGCUAUUAGUCACAGCUGGUAAGGCUCACAGGAACCGAGACUGUUUGAAAACAGUUGGAUCACGAAAACGUUUGAGUCUUUCUGCUGCAAGCAACAAACUUGGCCCAGGCUGCCACAAGGAGAUGGAGUGGGAGUGGGGGUGGCGAUGGGAUGCACCAGGAACGAAGGAAGAAAGGGAAAUUGCUAACCACCUCACUUCAAAAUCUUCUCUGAGGGAGCCCGUGGCUAUUAUCCUGGUUCAAAUGUCACAGAUAGAAGAUAAUAAAAACAAGAAGAAAUAAAAUUCAAGAUCCAUUAGAACACUUCUGGAUUGUCCAUUACAGCAUGUAUUACCCAACAGAAAGAUGAUCACUAAUAGAUGACAAGCUAUUUAAUUUUAUGUUUACUUUUGGAAGGAUGCAGGUACUGUGCAGGGUUUCUACAACACAUCAGCAUUGCUUACACCAGUACUUCAAAUAUGAGUUAUUUAAUCACCCAAGUUAAAUGAAAAUAACCAAAUGAUUAAAUAAAAUCAAGUCAUACUUCAUGUGAAGACUUUA